Molecule: long non-coding RNA, 151 nt
Organism: Ipomoea nil (Japanese morning glory)
Lineage: Eukaryota; Viridiplantae; Streptophyta; Magnoliopsida; Solanales; Convolvulaceae
Exons: 3
Source: RefSeq, a predicted model, not a curated record
GAUCCAACGGUGGAGGACGGUGGCGAUAAAACGGAGGCAAAGGAGGGUCACCGGAACCAAGGUAACGGUAACUUGGAUGGUAGUAGAUGGUCUAACCAAGGGGGAAGGCGAGGGAGGACGGUGGCGAUAAGACGGAGGCAAAGGAGGGUCA